GGAGAGGUGGCCGAGUGGUUGAAGGCGCACGCCUGGAAAGUGUGUAUACGGCAACGUAUCGAGGGUUCGAAUCCCUCUCUCUCCG
Legionellales bacterium is the source of this 85-nucleotide non-coding RNA. The record is from Rfam. Lineage: Bacteria; Pseudomonadati; Pseudomonadota; Gammaproteobacteria; Legionellales.